AUGGUAGGAUAGAGGCCUACCAUGGUGGUAACGGGUAACGGGGUGUUAGGGCACGACACCGGAGAGGGAGCCUGAGAAACGGCUACCACAUCCAAGGAUGGCAGCAGGCGCGCAAAUUACCCAAUCCCGACACGGGGAGGUAGUGACAAUAAAUAACAAUACGGGGUUCUUUGGGAUCUCGUAAUUGGAAUGAGUACAAUUUAAAUCUCUUAACGAGGAACAAUUGGAGGGCAAGUCUGGUGCCAGCAGCCGCGGUAAUUCCAGCUCCAAUAGCGUAUAUNAAAGUUGUUGCAGUUAAAAAGCUCGUAGUUGAAUUUCGGGGUCAGUAGGUCGGUCGUGCCACUGGUAUGAACUGGUUUUACUGAUUCCUCCCUCUUGAAGAACUGUAAUGCCAUUAAUUUGGUGUUGCAGGGAAUCAGGACUGUUACUUUGAAAAAAUUAGAGUGUUUAAAGCAGGCUUUAGCUUGAAUACAUUAGCAUGGAAUAAUGAAAUAGGACGUUUGAUCCUAUUUUGUUGGUUUCUAGGAUUGACGUAAUGAUUAAUAGGGAUAGUUGGGGGCAUUAGUAUUCAAUUGUCAGAGGUGAAAUUCUUGGAUUUAUUGAAGACUAACUACUGCGAAAGCAUUUGCCAAGGAUGUUUUCAUUAAUCAAGAACGAAAGUUAGGGGAUCGAAGACGAUCAGAUACCGUCGUAGUCUUAACCAUAAACUAUGCCGACUAGGGAUCGGAUGAUGUUAAUUUUUUAAUGACUCAUUCGGCGCCUUACGGGAAACCAAAGUGUUUGGG
This 785-nucleotide ribosomal RNA is filed under the name uncultured Glomus. Its description in RNAcentral is "SSU rRNA". It matches the Rfam family "Eukaryotic small subunit ribosomal RNA", at positions 325 to 1111 of the family's 1831-position model. Lineage: Eukaryota; Fungi; Glomeromycota; Glomeromycetes; Glomerales; Glomeraceae. The record is from RNAcentral.